UAGGAACUCACUCGAGGCACUGAAGAAGAGCCUUCUGGGGCUCCUCUGCUCCCCCAUCCUAGUUCUGGAAGGAGUGCAGACCGAACCCAGGAGCCCGGGUAUCCGCGUCCUGAGUCCUAGCGCCCACCAGGACUGGAGCCUCCUCGCAUCUACUCUGAGGACAAAAUCCACUGGCAGAAUCUUCGUUUUUGUUUGGGAUGCUGGGUUUGAGAACACGCCAUGAACCAAGAGUCGUAAAUAAUCCAAUUUUGAGCACUUGAGAACCAAGUGGAAAGAAACUCAAGCCGAUUCAAAGUGACCAAUCUCUGGUUAUGCCCUUGAGCCCCUGCAGAAGCAAAGAAUAAUUUGUGUGUGCGUGUGGACAAAUACAUUUGUAUUCCAGAUCUCACAGAAAUUCCUACACCAAGAAAUUUACAAGGAAAAUGAACACUGCGCCCUAAAAAUUAACAAGGAAACAAGGUACCAGGAGCAACAACUCAUUAACAGGAACAGAAACUAAAUUGCAAACAUUUCAGAUGCAAAGUGUAUCAGACUCAUAAUACAACUAUUCCUACAGUGUCUAAAAAUAUGAAAGGCAAUAAAGAAAAUAUCUUUGACAACAGGACCUCCAGCCUUCUAGACUGAAAAAAGAACCAAAUAGUUCUAGAUAUAAAAGCACACAGUAAUGGAAACGGAACAACUAAAUGCACAUCACGGUAGGUUACAGUGCGGAGCAGUAUUGCGAGGGCUUCUGUGAGUCCCAGUGAGCUCUGGGCAUUCUGUCUGCAACUGCAAGGAUGGCCGACACACAGCAGAACUCUCCUGUGCCUGUAACUCGAGUGGCCUCAAAAAAAAAAAAAAAAAAAGGGUAGUCAUUGACUCUUUAAGUGCGUGCAGUCGCAGUCUGGGGACAUUUUUUCUCUUUCUGAAAGAAGGCCAUUUCAGCGGAGGGCACAGAUUGGGAGAACACAGAUUCAUGCCAGCGUGGUGCGGAAGGAGACUCUGGCGGGUCACCCCCAUUUGUGGGAGAACGCAGGGUGGUGGAGGAAGUCCUGCACUAGCGGGGACGUCGGUGGGGACUGAGGCUGCUGUGGGGGACCCCAAGUGCGCUCUGGUUUCUGGGGCUGAUUCAUUACCUCACUUUGUUUUCACCACCCUUAGGCCACCCAGUCCAUUUGUAGGUAUAGAAAGAAGUCUGUAAGGAAGCCCGGCUAGCUCAGUCGGUAGAGCAUGAGACUCUUAAUCUCAGGGUCGUGGGUUCGAGCCCCACGUUGGGCGUAUGUUUUGAUUCUGGCUGUCUCUCCCAGAAUCUACCCUCUAUCUGUGGAGGUAGAGGCCCCUGACAGAUGCAGACUUGCUGGUACCUUUUAGAUGUACCCCAAGGGUACGUCUUUUCCUCCCAGCUCUCU
RNAcentral lists this transfer RNA (1388 nucleotides) under Macaca fascicularis (crab-eating macaque). RNAcentral describes it as "lncRNA (ENSMFAG00000057473.1)". The stretch from base 1185 to 1257 matches the Rfam family "tRNA". The record is from RNAcentral. Lineage: Eukaryota; Metazoa; Chordata; Mammalia; Primates; Cercopithecidae.